UGCUCACUGAACAAGGUCUCAAGUUGUUGUUGGUCAACACUCCAUGCAAGGUUUCCUACGUAGACUCUGUUGGAGCUGUCCAUACUCCCUCCACCCCUGCCUCCCUGGUAAGAAGAAUUGCCCCCGAAAGAAUUCUCCCUUUUGGGUGGUGCUGGCCCAGAAUUCACCCUCAGUGCCCUCCCGUCAAUUUCAUAGCCAUUAAAUUGUUGACAGGCAGCUUCAACUGCCUCUUUGGAGGACAUUGUCACAAAGCCAAAACCUCUGCUUCUUCCUGUAAGCUUGUCAUAGAUAACCUCAACCAUUUCAACAUCUCCAGCACGUUCAAAAAGCUCAGCAAGAUACGCACUAUCAACACUGAAAGGCAAAUUACCAACAAAGAUUUUAAGGUCAGGAUUGGCAUUACGUUCUUGAUAUGAAGCACCUUCAUCACUCAAACCCCCUUCCUCCUCCUCAUCAUCAUCACCAGCCCCAACUUCCUCAAUUUGGUCAAAAUCAGAAAGGGUUACUUUACGAACAAAACGAGAAGACUCAAAGUAUCUUGGGGUUGAAGAAGAUGAUAAAGAAAGGUUUAAAGAGGAAGAAGGAAGUGAAAAGAAGGAAAUUGAAGUUGUUUGGGAAGUGGGUUUUGGGAGUGUUUGUGGUGUAAGUGAAAGGAAAUGGAGGACAGAGAUGGCCGGACUUACAAUUUGAACGGAAGAAGAGGAAGAAAGUAUUUGGUGCAGUGGAUCUGGAACCCAAUUCUGAAAGCCUGUGCUGGUCCCAAUGCGAUGGACUAGUGGCGCCAAAGAAUCUGUAGCUAAGAAACUCCAUGGAUGGAGCUUGAUGAUAAAGCAAAAAAUGGAGGAAGGAGAAGAAUGGUAGACCAAAGAAACAGAGUGAGCAGUUUGCCGACUAGUUUUGGCCGGGAUUACAAUUACUUUAUUU
Molecule: unclassified non-coding RNA, 924 nt
Filed under: Hevea brasiliensis (rubber tree)
Lineage: Eukaryota; Viridiplantae; Streptophyta; Magnoliopsida; Malpighiales; Euphorbiaceae
Source: RNAcentral